RNAcentral lists this ribosomal RNA (514 nucleotides) under uncultured Entrophosporaceae. Its description in RNAcentral is "SSU rRNA". It matches the Rfam family "Eukaryotic small subunit ribosomal RNA", at positions 569 to 1078 of the family's 1831-position model. The record is from RNAcentral. Lineage: Eukaryota; Fungi; Glomeromycota; Glomeromycetes; Entrophosporales; Entrophosporaceae.
AGCAGCCGCGGUAAUUCCAGCUCCAAUAGCGUAUAUUAAAGUUGUUGCAGUUAAAAAGCUCGUAGUUGAAUUUCGGGAUUGACACAUCGGUCGUGCCUUAAGGGGGUAUGAACUGGUGUAGUCAAUUUCUCACCUUCUGGGGAACCGCGAUGCCCUUAAUUGGGUGUCGCGAGGAACCAGGACCUUUACUUUGAAAAAUUAGAGUGUUUAAAGCAGGCAUUUUGCUUGAAUACAUUAGCAUGGAAUAAUAAAAUAGGACGGCAUGAUUCUAUUUUGUUGGUUUUAGGAUCACCGUAAUGAUUAAUAGGGAUAGUUGGGGGCAUUAGUAUUCAAUUGUCAGAGGUGAAAUUCUUGGAUUUAUUGAAGACUAACUACUGCGAAAGCAUUUGCCAAGGAUGUUUUCAUUAAUCAAGAACGAAAGUUAGGGGAUCGAAGACGAUCAGAUACCGUCGUAGUCUUAACCAUAAACUAUGCCGACUAGGAAUCAGACGAUGUUAAUUUUUAAUGUAACUCG